RNAcentral lists this long non-coding RNA (263 nucleotides) under Ailuropoda melanoleuca (giant panda). RNAcentral's name for it is "lncRNA (ENSAMEG00000023587.1)". The record is from RNAcentral. Lineage: Eukaryota; Metazoa; Chordata; Mammalia; Carnivora; Ursidae.
CAGCUCAGCUGGUAUCAUAAUCCUCUGUUUACCAUUGAAAGCUGGACACUGUGUAGUUAAAAAUGUUUAAGAUCAAGGUCAAAGUCUUGGAGGAUACAGAUUUGCUCUGAAAGUGAAGAUUGAAGGGCAAACGAGAAACCAUUUAGUUUUUAGGUGAAAUAUGGGGAUGUCCUUAUCUCGCCAGUGGCUUUCCUAAGGUAACUUUCUUCCAUAGGUAAUUUACUCAUUUUAUAGUAGUUUUCAGUAAUCCCCCUAACAAAAUG